ACCCAAAGUGUUGAGUUCAGUGCAGGGUGGUCUUCNCUGUUCUGGUAAUUAAACUUUGGAACAGCAAGUGGUUGGGAGAUGUCAGAAGCAGGAAGUUUUGCUUUCCUGCCAGUUCCCUCUCAACUCACAAAG
Molecule: small nucleolar RNA, 132 nt
Filed under: Salvator merianae (Argentine black and white tegu)
Lineage: Eukaryota; Metazoa; Chordata; Lepidosauria; Squamata; Teiidae
Source: RNAcentral